Molecule: transfer RNA, 83 nt
Filed under: Planctomycetaceae bacterium
Lineage: Bacteria; Pseudomonadati; Planctomycetota; Planctomycetia; Planctomycetales; Planctomycetaceae
Description: tRNA-Leu
Rfam family: tRNA
About the family: Transfer RNA (tRNA) molecules are approximately 80 nucleotides in length. Their secondary structure includes four short double-helical elements and three loops (D, anti-codon, and T loops).
Source: RNAcentral
GCCGGAGUGGCGGAAUGGCAGACGCGCUGGAUUCAAAAUCCAGUUGGUGCAAACCAGUGUGGGUUCAACUCCCACCUCCGGUA